UCUUUAUUGUAUAGACAUUGACAAAAUUGGAACGAUACAGAGAAGAUUAGCAUGGCCCCUGCGCAAGGAUGACACGCAAAAUCGUGAAGCAUUCCACAUUUUU
Molecule: non-coding RNA, 103 nt
Organism: Bombyx mori (domestic silkworm)
Lineage: Eukaryota; Metazoa; Arthropoda; Insecta; Lepidoptera; Bombycidae
Source: Rfam